This 771-nucleotide ribosomal RNA is filed under the name uncultured bacterium. RNAcentral's name for it is "bacterial SSU rRNA". It matches the Rfam family "Bacterial small subunit ribosomal RNA", at positions 73 to 857 of the family's 1533-position model. The record is from RNAcentral.
UGAGAGCUUGCUUUUGAUUAUUUUAGCGGCGGACGGGUGAGUAACGUGUGGGUAACCUGCCUUUUACUGUGGAAUAAUCGUUGGAAACGACGACUAAUACCGCAUACGGUUCUUGGAAGGCAUCUUCUAAGAAAGAAAGGAUUUAUUCGGUAAAAGAUGGGCCCGCAUCUGAUUAGCUAGUUGGUGAGAUAACAGCCCACCAAGGCAACGAUCAGUAGCCGACCUGAGAGGGUGACCGGCCACAUUGGGACUGAGACACGGCCCAAACUCCUACGGGAGGCAGCAGUGGGGAAUAUUGCACAAUGGGCGAAAGCCUGAUGCAGCAACGCCGCGUGAAGGAAGACGGUUUUCGGAUUGUAAACUUCUAUCAAUAGGGAAGAAAGAAAUGACGGUACCUAAAUAAGAAGCCCCGGCUAACUACGUGCCAGCAGCCGCGGUAAUACGUAGGGGGCAAGCGUUAUCCGGAAUUACUGGGUGUAAAGGGAGAGUAGGCGGCAAGGUAAGCGAUAUGUGAAAGCCUUAAGCUUAACUUAAGGAUUGCAUAACGAACUAUCUAGCUAGAGUACAGGAGAGGAAAGCGGAAUUCCUAGUGUAGCGGUGAAAUGCGUAGAUAUUAGGAAGAACACCAGUGGCGAAGGCGGCUUUCUGGACUGAAACUGACGCUGAGGCUCGAAAGCGUGGGGAGCGAACAGGAUUAGAUACCCUGGUAGUCCACGCUGUAAACGAUGAGUGCUAGGUGUCGGGGAGGAAUUCCCGGUGCCGGAGCAAACG